Molecule: transfer RNA, 86 nt
Filed under: Deltaproteobacteria bacterium
Lineage: Bacteria; Pseudomonadati; Myxococcota; Myxococcia
Description: tRNA-Ser
Rfam family: tRNA
About the family: Transfer RNA (tRNA) molecules are approximately 80 nucleotides in length. Their secondary structure includes four short double-helical elements and three loops (D, anti-codon, and T loops).
Source: RNAcentral
GGAGGGAUGGGAGAGUGGUUGAAUCCGGCGGUCUUGAAAACCGUUAAGCGCAAGCUUCGGGGGUUCGAAUCCCCCUCCCUCUUCCA